This 590-nucleotide long non-coding RNA is filed under the name Homo sapiens (human). RNAcentral describes it as "HSALNT0120061". The record is from RNAcentral. Lineage: Eukaryota; Metazoa; Chordata; Mammalia; Primates; Hominidae.
CAAGCAGUAUUAGGUGUUCCUGCCAACAUCUUCAGCUAAGAAUUCAACUCCUCACUAAUAUUGAUUGUGAUACCUGAGAAUGAGUAAACCUCUAGGACAGAGUCAGCAAACAUUUUCUUUAAGAGCCAAGUAGCAGAUAUUUAGACUAUUCUUAGUUCAUGGGCUGUAUAAAAAUAGACAGAAUUUGGCCUGUGAGGCUGUAGUUUACCCUGCUUUAAAUGGUUCCUAUACCCAACCUUUAAGGCAUCCCAGCUAAAGGUGAGUGGAGCAGAAAUGAGCUGACCCCACUGAGCUUUGUCCAAAUGUUUCCUCUUCCAUAAAAUGAAGAUAACAGUAGUACCUCUUGGAUGGAUGUGUUAAGAAAAAGAUAAUGCCUGUGAAGUACCUAGCGCAGGACCUAGCACAGUACAUAGCACGGUACCUGGAGAACUGUCAUUCAUUCAUGUCUAAAAGGAGCAGUUGGAUUCAGUGAAAAGGCUAAUACAGGGAGAGACAAAACCCAGGAAAAUGUAAAAUAUCAUGGACUAAACUACUGAGCCAAGUGUCCUAGAAAGGACAUAGCAAAGAAGACUGGAGAUGGCUGAAUUGAG